CAUCGCUCUCUGGGUAUAACACAUAGGGAGUCGAACCUGCCCAGUGAAAAUAUUUUAACGGCCGCGGUACUCUGACCGUGCAAAGGUAGCAUAAUCAUUUGCCUUAUAAUUGAAGGCUAGAAUGAAUGGUCUGACGAGAGUAACACUGUCUCCUAUCUAUUUUUUAGAAUUUGACCUUCAGGUGAAGAGGCCUGAAUUUUAUUGAAGGACAAGAAGACCCUGUCGAGCUUGAAAAACAAGUAGAACUACUUAUAUUUUAAUAAAUUCAUAACUGCUAGUAUUUUUGGUUGGGGCGACCAAGGAACAAAAAAAGCUUCCUGUAUUAAGAAAUACCGAUAAGUUUUGAUCCGGCUUAGCCGAUUAAAAGAAUUAGUUACCGCAGGGAUAACAGCAUAAUCUCUCUUGAGAGACCUAAUCGAAAGGGGGGGUUGUGACCUCGAUGUUGGACUAGAAUAUCCUGAAGAUGCAGAAGUCUUCGAGGGUUGGUCUGUUCGACCAUUAAAAUUCUAC
This 510-nucleotide ribosomal RNA is filed under the name Turritella acropora. RNAcentral describes it as "partial 16S large subunit ribosomal RNA". It matches the Rfam family "Bacterial large subunit ribosomal RNA", at positions 1814 to 2599 of the family's 2925-position model. The record is from RNAcentral. Lineage: Eukaryota; Metazoa; Mollusca; Gastropoda; Turritellidae.